This 478-nucleotide ribosomal RNA is filed under the name uncultured bacterium. RNAcentral's name for it is "partial 16S ribosomal RNA". It matches the Rfam family "Bacterial small subunit ribosomal RNA", at positions 28 to 523 of the family's 1533-position model. The record is from RNAcentral.
GACGAACGCCGGCGGCGUGCUUAACACAUGCAAGUCGAACGGUAAGGCCCUUCGGGGUACACGAGUGGCGAACGGGUGAGUAACACGUGGGUGAUCUGCCCUGCACUUCGGGAUAAGCCUGGGAAACUGGGUCUAAUACCGGAUAGGACCACUGCCUGCAUGGGUGGUGGUGGAAAGCUUUUGCGGUGUGGGAUGGGCCCGCGGCCUAUCAGCUUGUUGGUGGGGUGAUGGCCUAGCAAGGCGACGACGGGUAGCCGGCCUGAGAGGGUGACCGGCCACACUGGGACUGAGAUACGGCCCAGACUCCUACGGGAGGCAGCAGUGGGGAAUAUCGCACAAUGGGCGCAAGCCUGAUGCAGCGUCGCCGCGUGAGGGAUGACGGCCUUCGGGUUGUAAACCUCUUUCAGCACCGACGAAGCGCAAGUGACGGUAGGUGCAGAAGAAGGACCGGCCAACUACGUGCCAGCCGCCGCGGUAA